RNAcentral lists this long non-coding RNA (457 nucleotides) under Mus musculus (house mouse). RNAcentral describes it as "RIKEN cDNA 2310008N11 gene". Lineage: Eukaryota; Metazoa; Chordata; Mammalia; Rodentia; Muridae. The record is from RNAcentral.
AAUGCCACGGGCAAAUGCCACGAAGGAUUAUGGCAGAGUGGAUGGUAGUCUUAAGGCCUGAGGCAGAGACAGAGGGUUCCUUUUUUUACAGUCAACAUUCAAGCAUACUGCACCCGAAUGGACUAAGCUUACUGAAGUCACCCGCAGAAAAAACACACAAGCGACAUCAGAACAGAGAUGCAAAGACGGAAGCAGAAAAGCAGCCAUGAUCCUAGAAAAUGGCCGUUAACAUAUUGGUAUGCCGUAAGACUUUAAGAUCGCCUGGAAUUGAUUCUCAUAAUUUCCCCCCGGCGCUCGAGAUUGUUUUCCCAUUGCUCUUUCAGCUCCUGCUGGAGGUGGUAGCUCAAGUGGAGUCAAUAUGUGCUCAGACCUUCAUGCUCCCACCUCACGUCUGAGCGUGUCACUCCCCGCUUGCCCCUACCCAGACUGCAAUAACUUAAGAUGCAUUGACUCCUGU